This 475-nucleotide ribosomal RNA is filed under the name uncultured bacterium. RNAcentral describes it as "bacterial SSU rRNA". It matches the Rfam family "Bacterial small subunit ribosomal RNA", at positions 27 to 518 of the family's 1533-position model. The record is from RNAcentral.
GGACGAACGCUGGCGGCACGCUUAACACAUGCAAGUCGAACGGAGUUUAGAGAGCUUGCUUUUAAACUUAGUGGCGGACGGGUGAGUAACACGUGAGCAAUCUGCCUUCAGAGGGGGAUAGCAGUUGGAAACGACUGAUAAUACCGCAUAAUAUAGUAGGAUCGCAUGAUUUAACUAUCAAAGAUUUAUCGCUGAAAAGAUGAGCUCGCGUCUGAUUAGAUAGUUGGUGAGGUAACGGCUCACCAAGUCGACGAUCAGUAGCCGGACUGAGAGGUUGAACGGCCACAUUGGGACUGAGACACGGCCCAGACUCCUACGGGAGGCAGCAGUGGGGAAUAUUGCACAAUGGGCGCAAGCCUGAUGCAGCGAUGCCGCGUGAGGGAAGAAGGUUUUAGGAUUGUAAACCUCUGUCUUCAGGGACGAUAAUGACGGUACCUGAGGAGGAAGCUCCGGCUAACUACGUGCCAGCCGCAGC